AACCUUACCAGGUCUUAGACACUCCCGAUGCUUAUUUCUAGAGAUAGAAAGUUACUUCGGUACAGUCGGUGACAGGUGGUGCAUGGUUGUCGUCAGCUCGUGUCGUGAGAUGUUGGGUUAAGUCCCGCAACGAGCGCAACCCCUAUUGUUAGUUGCCAUCAUUCAGUUGGGCACUCUAGCGAGACUGCCGGUAAUAAACCGGAGGAAGGUGGGGAUGACGUCAAAUCAUCAUGCCCCUUAUGACCUGGGCUACACACGUGCUACAAUGGUUGGUACAACGAGUUGCGAGUCGGUGACGGCGAGCUAAUCUCUUAAAGCCAAUCUCAGUUCGGAUUGUAGGCUGCAACUCGCCUACAUGAAGUCGGAAUCGCUAGUAAUCGCGGAUCAGCACGCCGCGGUGAAUACGUUCCCGGGCCUU
Molecule: ribosomal RNA, 418 nt
Filed under: uncultured Streptococcus sp.
Lineage: Bacteria; Bacillati; Bacillota; Bacilli; Lactobacillales; Streptococcaceae
Description: bacterial SSU rRNA
Rfam family: Bacterial small subunit ribosomal RNA
Source: RNAcentral